UUAAAAUAUUUCUGAAUUUUUAAGAUAUUAACUAUUAAAUAAGUAUGUGAUUACAUCAUGAAGGAGGCUACUGAUUCUGGCCCUGUGACACUUGGUGGUGACGUGUGAGCUGAUUCACCUGGUAAAUAACUUUUAAAUUAAAUAUUUUGUUUUUGCUAUCAAAAGUAAAUUAACUAAUAACCUGCAUUACUGCAGGACACUCAGCAAAAUAUGGACUCUACACCAUGAGGCAGGCACACGUUAAUAACUCUAUAAGAGCACAUAAGCAUGAGGAUGUCCUCACACACCUGUCAUCUGGUUAUGAGAGCAUGAGGAUGUCCUCACACACCUGUAACCUACCAGCUCAUCUGGCAGAAUAGAGAGAGAAGAGACAACACCACAUCUCCUGUUCCUGGAAAGCCUUCAGCCAUCCUUCGAUGACUGAGAACCUCCAUCAGCUCUGUCUCCUGUCUGCCUACAAUUAUUAUAAUAAAUAUUGUGUUUGACAAGUU
Nothobranchius furzeri (turquoise killifish) is the source of this 491-nucleotide non-coding RNA. The record is from RefSeq and is a predicted model, not a curated record. Lineage: Eukaryota; Metazoa; Chordata; Actinopteri; Cyprinodontiformes; Nothobranchiidae.